UUUAGUUUUACUAAAAUUGAAUUUUUUUUAACAUAGAUGAGUGAAUGUGGAUUGAGUCAUGAUAGCCUUUGAUUUAGAGUUUGGUGACAUAUGUUAUAGUAUUGUUGGUAUUUCUAAGUUUAUAUUUUGAAAUAUUAUCUUUUUAAAUUUUUUUAAUUUGACCUAUAUGUGUUUAGUGACUAUCUAAUAACUUGAUUUAAACACUUUUCAAGUUUUUUUUUUAGUUUAAUGAAGUGUUUUUUUUUUGCUUAGUUAUUUGAUUAUAGGAUCCGGAAGAGUGUGAGAAGACUUUUGUUUACGGUUUGGUAACAUAUGUUAUAGUAUUAUUUGUAUUUAGGGUUAGAUUUUGGAAUCUUAACUUAAAAAACAUUUUUGACCUAAAUGUGUUUAGUUUUGUUAUAUUAAACACUUUAUAAAUUGAUUUUAAUUUUAAUGAAUUGUUAUUCGCUAUUUAGUUAGUUAUUUGAUUAGGUUAUGGUUUGGAAGACUUAUAGAAGACGUCCCUAGAAGGCUUUCAAAAAGACUUCC
This 528-nucleotide long non-coding RNA is filed under the name Brassica rapa (field mustard). RNAcentral describes it as "long non-coding RNA (BRAP_LNC005683)". The record is from RNAcentral. Lineage: Eukaryota; Viridiplantae; Streptophyta; Magnoliopsida; Brassicales; Brassicaceae.